This 100-nucleotide non-coding RNA is filed under the name Vibrio maritimus. RNAcentral describes it as "Glycine sequence". It matches the Rfam family "Glycine riboswitch aptamer". From Rfam's summary of the family: This family represents the bacterial glycine riboswitch. Glycine riboswitches usually consist of two metabolite-binding aptamers domains with similar structures in tandem. Lineage: Bacteria; Pseudomonadati; Pseudomonadota; Gammaproteobacteria; Vibrionales; Vibrionaceae. The record is from Rfam by way of RNAcentral.
GGAGGAACCUCUGGAGAGAACCGUUAGAUCGGUCGCCGAAGGAGCAAGCUCAUUUCUAUAAUGAGUGAAACUCUCAGGUACAAAGGACAGAGGAGAGAAU